GGAUUAGAUACCCUGGUAGUCCUAGCUGUAAACGAUGGGUACUAGGCAAUGGGAGUCCGAUGCUCUCGUUGCCGAAGCUAAUGUGCUAAGUACCCCGCCUGGGGAGUACGGCCGCAAGGCUGAAACUCAAAGGAAUUGACGGGGGCUCACACAAGCGGUGGAGUAUGUGGUUUAAUUCGAAGCAACGCGCAGAACCUUACCAGGGUUUGAAAUGCACGGAUUAGCCCCCUGAAAGGGGGGUGACGCCUUACGGUGGAACGUGCACAGGUGUUGCAUGGCUGUCGUCAGCUCGUGCCG
Molecule: ribosomal RNA, 297 nt
Filed under: uncultured bacterium
Lineage: Bacteria
Description: partial 16S ribosomal RNA
Rfam family: Bacterial small subunit ribosomal RNA
Source: RNAcentral